This 368-nucleotide long non-coding RNA is filed under the name Brachypodium distachyon (stiff brome). RNAcentral's name for it is "long non-coding RNA (BDIS_LNC002917)". The record is from RNAcentral. Lineage: Eukaryota; Viridiplantae; Streptophyta; Magnoliopsida; Poales; Poaceae.
CAAGGAAUCCCCAAGACAAAUUGAGGCACGACACCGGUGCAACAAGGAGAACAUGCACCACCGGUAACUCUGGCUGAAUAUUGCUUUAGAGAACAUGCGCCACGUUCGGAUGCAACACAAUCGCUGCACUUGAACAUAGCUCUGCGUCAAAAGGAGUGGUACCCUCUACCCUGUUGGAACUCAGAAAGUCAGAAGUAAAGGUAGCGAAUCUCUAGCCUUGCUGGAAGUAGGAGCAAAAUCACUUUCUUCAUCAGAUAGCCAUUGGUGCUGAUUUUGAAGUACCUACGAGUGUCUGAUUGUAGGUGUCGUCUGGUGGUUGAUGAUGUAGCCUUUGAAGAAACCACCAACCUUCCCACCAUGGAAGUCGA